RNAcentral lists this transfer RNA (84 nucleotides) under Canis lupus familiaris (dog). It matches the Rfam family "tRNA". Rfam says of the family: Transfer RNA (tRNA) molecules are approximately 80 nucleotides in length. Their secondary structure includes four short double-helical elements and three loops (D, anti-codon, and T loops). Further hydrogen bonds mediate the characteristic L-shaped molecular structure. tRNAs have two regions of fundamental functional importance: the anti-codon, which is responsible for specific mRNA codon recognition, and the 3' end, to which the tRNAs corresponding amino acid is attached (by aminoacyl-tRNA synthetases). tRNAs cope with the degeneracy of the genetic code in two manners: having more than one tRNA (with a specific anti-codon) for a particular amino acid; and 'wobble' base-pairing, i.e. permitting non-standard base-pairing at the 3rd anti-codon position. The record is from Rfam by way of RNAcentral. Lineage: Eukaryota; Metazoa; Chordata; Mammalia; Carnivora; Canidae. RNAcentral also lists the same sequence under 2 other names.
GCCUGGGUGGCUCAGUCGGUGAAGCACCUGCCUUCAGCUCAGGUCAUGAUCCUGGAGUCUCAGGAUCAAGUCCUGCAUCAGGCU